This 614-nucleotide ribosomal RNA is filed under the name uncultured bacterium. Its description in RNAcentral is "bacterial SSU rRNA". It matches the Rfam family "Bacterial small subunit ribosomal RNA", at positions 60 to 675 of the family's 1533-position model. The record is from RNAcentral.
AGUCGAACGGAAAGGCCCUUUCGGGGGUACUCGAGUGGCGAACGGGUGAGUAACACGUGGGUGAUCUGCCCUGCACUUCGGGAUAAGCUUGGGAAACUGGGUCUAAUACCGGAUAGGACUACGGCCUGCAUGGGUUGUGGUGGAAAGCUUUUGCGGUGUGGGAUGGGCCCGCGGCCUAUCAGCUUGUUGGUGGGGUGAUGGCCUACCAAGGCGACGACGGGUAGCCGGCCUGAGAGGGUGUCCGGCCACACUGGGACUGAGAUACGGCCCAGACUCCUACGGGAGGCAGCAGUGGGGAAUAUUGCACAAUGGGCGCAAGCCUGAUGCAGCGACGCCGCGUGGGGGAUGACGGCCUUCGGGUUGUAAACCUCUUUCACCAUCGGCGAAGCCGGGGGCUUUUGUUUCCGGUGACGGUAGGUGGAGAAGAAGCACCGGCCAACUACGUGCCAGCAGCCGCGGUAAUACGUAGGGUGCGAGCGUUGUCCGGAAUUACUGGGCGUAAAGAGCUCGUAGGUGGUUUGUCGCGUUGUCCGUGAAAUUCCCUGGCUUAACUGGGGGCGUGCGGGCGAUACGGGCAGACUGGAGUACUGCAGGGGAGACUGGAAUUCCUGGUG